This 753-nucleotide ribosomal RNA is filed under the name uncultured archaeon. RNAcentral's name for it is "bacterial SSU rRNA". It matches the Rfam family "Archaeal small subunit ribosomal RNA", at positions 154 to 908 of the family's 1478-position model. The record is from RNAcentral.
CGAUGGGUCUGGGAUGAUGGAAGGCUCGCAGGCCAAAAUCAUGCGGGGCUCGAGGAUGGGUCUGCGGCCUAUCAGGUAGUAGGGGGUGUUACGGACCCCCUAGCCGAAGACGGGUACGGGCUUUGGGAGAAGUCGCCCGGAGAUGGAUUCUGAGACACGAAUCCAGGUCCUACGGGACGCAGCAGGCGCGAAACCUCCACAAUGUGGGAAACCACGAUGGGGGAACUCCAAGUGCCUAGACUUAUGUCUAGGCUGUUCUCGAGCCUAAAAAGCUCGAGAAGUAAGGGCCGGGUAAGACGGGUGCCAGCCGCCGCGGUAAUACCCGCGGCCCGAGUGGUGCUCAUUAUUAUUGAGCCUAAAGCGUCCGUAGCUGGCCAGACAAAUCUCCGGGUAAAUCGGGCGGCCCAACCGUCCGAAUUCCGGAGACACUGUUUGGCUUGGGAUCGGGAGAGGGUGAAGGUACUCCCGGGGUAGGGGUAAAAUCCUGUAAUCCUGGGGGGACCACCGGUGGCGAAGGCGUUCACCUAGAACGAAUCCGACAGUGAGGGACGAAGCCCUAGGGCGCAAACGGGAUUAGAUACCCCGGUAGUCUAGGGUGUAAACUCUGCAGACUUGGUGUUGGGGGUCCUGCGUGGGCUCCCAGUGCCGGAGUGAAGAUGUUAAGUCUGCCGCUUGGGGAGUACGGUCGCAAGACUGAAACUUAAAGGAAUUGGCGGGAGAGCACCGCAACGGGAGGAGCGUGCGGUUCAAUUG